RNAcentral lists this ribosomal RNA (433 nucleotides) under uncultured bacterium. RNAcentral describes it as "partial 16S ribosomal RNA". It matches the Rfam family "Bacterial small subunit ribosomal RNA", at positions 29 to 507 of the family's 1533-position model. The record is from RNAcentral.
AACGAACGCUGGCGGCAUGCCUAACACAUGCAAGUCGAACGAGACCUUCGGGUCUAGUGGCGCACGGGUGCGUAACGCGUGGGAACCUGCCCGUAGGUUCGGAAUAACUCCCCGUAAGGGGUGCUAAUACCGGUUAAUCUCAUCGGACCUACGAGCUAUCGCCUUUGGAUGGGGGCGGGUUGGUUUAGCCAGUUGGUAGGGUAAAAGCCUACCAAGGCGACGAUGCAUAGCUGGUCUGAGAGGAUGAUAUGCCGCGCUGGAAAUGAGACACGGCCCAGAGUCGUAGGGGACGGAGGAGUGGGGAGUAUUAGGCGAGGGGCGAAAGCCUGGUACAGCAAUGCGGGGUGAGUGAUGAAGGGGUUAGGGUUGUAAAGCUCUUUUAGACGGGAUGAUAGUGACAGUACCGGGAGAAUAAGCACCGGCUAACUCCGUG